UACGUAGGGUGCAAGCGUUGUCCGGAAUUAUUGGGCGUAAAGAGCUCGUAGGCGGUUUGUCACGUCGGCCGUGAAAACUCGGGGCUCAACCCCGAGCCUGCGGUCGAUACGGGCAGACUAGAGUGCUGUAGGGGAGACUGGAAUUCCUGGUGUAGCGGUGAAAUGCGCAGAUAUCAGGAGGAACACCGGUGGCGAAGGCGGGUCUCUGGGCAGUAACUGACGCUGAGGAGCGAAAGCGUGGGGAGCGAACAGG
Molecule: ribosomal RNA, 253 nt
Filed under: uncultured bacterium
Lineage: Bacteria
Description: partial 16S ribosomal RNA
Rfam family: Bacterial small subunit ribosomal RNA
Source: RNAcentral